CCUACACCAAACUAUUUGAAACAACCCAUAUUCCACCACGGAGAUUUUAAAUUUGAACUUCAUCCUAUUUCUAACUAUAAUUAAAAUAUCUUUUAAUACCUAUAUUUACCUCUUCCCUUUCCUAUUUUACUCUGAGCUUACUAUUAAGCUACACUUUUCAGACAUAUAUUUAUCCAUCCCAAUUAAAUUAGGAUUUAAUCGUGAUAGAUUUCGCCUACAAAUCCCUUUUAAUUUAAGUUUUUAAGGUACAAGUUAAAAUAAAAAAAAAGUUCACGUGGCUAUCACUUCGUGAAUAGUAAUUUUUGCAUAGUACACGCUAAUUGCGGUAUUUAGAUUUCCGACUAGAAAAAAUUCUAAAAAAUCCAGAAAAAUCAAUUCCCAAAGGAUUUGUCUGAAUUCUUCAAGUUCAAAAUCUUCAGCUACUUCCUGAUGUCUUUCUAGGGUUAAAAACAUUCUGUGGGUCUGAUCAUGGGUCAUUUCUCUUUCGUCGUUGUCUUCUGUUUCCAAUGUGUCGUCGGAUAAUGUUUCUUCCUCGUCUCUUUGUCUGUCUUGUUCUAUGGCACUGAACCUGUGACGCCCCAACUUUCCAGAGGGUCACCCAUCCUAGGACUACUCCCGUUCUAGCACGCUUAACUCUCUUAACCUCUUGGGCCUUGCCACCACCCAAAAUGCUUAAGCCGG
This 681-nucleotide long non-coding RNA is filed under the name Ananas comosus (pineapple). Its description in RNAcentral is "long non-coding RNA (ACOM_LNC044224)". The record is from RNAcentral. Lineage: Eukaryota; Viridiplantae; Streptophyta; Magnoliopsida; Poales; Bromeliaceae.